UACGUAGGGGGCAGGCGUUGUCCGGAAUCAUUGGGCGUAAAGAGCGUGUAGGCGGCCCGGUAAGUCCGCUGUGAAAGUCCAGGGCUCAACCCUGGGAUGCCGGUGGAUACUGUCGGGCUCGAGUCCGGAAGAGGAGUGUGGAAUUCCUGGUGUAGCGGUGAAAUGCGCAGAUAUCAGGAGGAACACCAAUGGCGAAGGCAGCACUCUGGGACGUGACUGACGCUGAGACGCGAAAGCGUGGGGAGCGAACAGG
This 253-nucleotide ribosomal RNA is filed under the name uncultured bacterium. RNAcentral's name for it is "partial 16S ribosomal RNA". It matches the Rfam family "Bacterial small subunit ribosomal RNA", at positions 524 to 776 of the family's 1533-position model. The record is from RNAcentral.